Molecule: long non-coding RNA, 3400 nt
Filed under: Chlamydomonas reinhardtii
Lineage: Eukaryota; Viridiplantae; Chlorophyta; Chlorophyceae; Chlamydomonadales; Chlamydomonadaceae
Description: long non-coding RNA (CREI_LNC001453)
Source: RNAcentral
GCCACACUGUGCAUAUUGGCUAAUGCCUAUAAAAAUCAAUCAACCCCAACACCCAAAGCCGUCCAGGAGUGCAGAGUACUUUACAUCAUCGGGUUGAGGCCGUUUUCUCCUUCUUACAUCCUUCCUAGUACACUAAGUUAAAAGCUGAAAUCUUCCCAGUACAUUACGCAGGCCUUCCGUCUGGGGGUCUGGGGGAAAAACGCUAGCCUCUGCAUGGGGUUCCUUCGGGCCUUCAACUUGAAGCAGCCAAUUUACAUAUGCUGUGAUAACUGAUAUACCGGCAUACAUUUAAAUUAUAUAUAAUGUUUCCUUAUAGAGCGUUUGUUCGCUCGCUCUCCCACAUUCCGCCCCUCACCAGUCGCACAAACACAAAAAUAAGGCUAGUUCUAAUGUCAGUAGAACAAGAGCUGGUGGCUCAGGCUGCUUGGGACGCGAGUUCUCGCGCUGCUGACCGCUCGUUGACCAGCUCGGCGACGCUGCUGCUGAGACGUCAGCUGAAGCCAGCUAUCACAAGAGACUUACAACUGUGCCUCACAAAUGAUCAGCUCUGCUUUUAAUGUUUUAAUGGGGAAGUGUUGGUCAAAAACGCCAUACAUUCAACAUCACGACCGUUGUCACGCCUCACGGAAGUCCACAGGUUAGUCCACAGGUUAAAAUGAGAAUGGGAGGCUUUGAACCUGCAGCCCGGAUUGCCCGCCCGGCCAUAUGUCACAACCCCGUGUGUGUAUGUGUACUUGCAGGAUCCUCCGCCAUGCUCUUGAGGACCGGAGCCAGGAGCCGUUCGAGGGUGAGCCCAUGGAGAGGGUACCUGCAAGCAGAGAACUGCGGUCUUCGUGCGGGGUUGGGAGGGCGAGCCCGAAGCGCCGUGUAGCCACGCAAAGAUAGAGCGUAGCCAGGGACGACGGCGUCAGUACUGACAGAACGAAACUCGCAAAGUAGCGAGCGCGACACAGCGCUCUGCUACUUAACCGGGCCCACCGCCCAUGCCGCGCAUGGGCCCCAAACAACAAACACACACACGCCACGCCCCUUCGGGGCCCACAACUGUGCACACUCCGAGCGCAGGAAACCUUGGUUUCCGACAACUCGCUGCGCUCGAGCGGAAACCAUCAGGAAAUAUGUUUGAGCAGAUGCCGUAGAUGCAGGUAGAUGCAGGUAGAUGCAGGUCCCCAGCGGCUGCAACCCUGGCGCAAGAUGGUUCACAACCCCUUCACUCACGUUGUGUUUGCUGGUCGGAGCCUUCAAGAGAUGACUGUUUGCUGCCUCCCUUACUAGCUCUGUAUGGUAUGUAUGUCUAUAUCACUUCCUGGUACCUCUAGUCCGUGUCACAUACCCGCCUGCUGCCACACGCCCCUUCCCCCAGGUCGGCUGGCUGGACUGCCGCCACACCUCCAACAUUGUGUUUAGCAAUGGUGAGUGUUCGCAUCACCAAUAGGCCUACACACCGGAACACAUACAGGCCCGCUUCAUGAGAUAGGUCCGGUGCACUGCCAAGCACUCUGUUCUUUGCUGGCAGCCUUGCAUUGGCAUUGGCACCUUGCGGCAGGAGUGCAGGGUGUGUUCACAUGUGUGCACGCGUGGAUGCAGGUGCAGCCAGUGGAGGCAGAACUACAGGAGCUAGCAUGAUACAAGCUGUCCGGCACUAGAGCUGGAGACGGGCGUGGUGGCACCAGUGGCGGCUGCUGUGGAGGCGGGUGAUGUGCCGACUGCAGUGGAGGCAGGUGUCAAGGUGGUGGGAGACAUCAUGCCCAGCAGACACGCAAGUGGUUGUUGCACGGUUGACACACUCAUACCAUUUAGACAUCAUAUGGCAGGCUUGGGUUGAUGGCACAGACUUCAUAUAGUGUUGUAGACAGUGGCAGACCGGGAGAGCAAGACUGUGGUGGGCUUUGAAUGCACGGAGACUCAGCUGGAGAGUGCCAAGGUGUAGGGAAGUAGAGGGCUAACUGAGUAUGGUGUUGUUGGUGAGUUGGACUGGGAACACAAGGCAGGUGACCUCCUCGCUGCCCUGCCACCGUUGGUCUCUUGGGCACGAGAUGAAGUACAUUGAUGCAGUCAGUGGAAUGCAGUAGUACUGGUGCGUGGGGGCAGUUGACAUGGGUUGGUGAGGGCACUUGGCAUAAAAUGCAGCAGGCUGAUGUGUGUGGUCACUGCUAGGGCAGGGCUUGUAUCAAGGUGGAAUCAUAUAAAGGAGACACUUUACAGGCCAUAAUGAACAACCCUAAACCCAGGCUGGCAGGCGGGCUGGGCGGGGGCUGCACGGCAUGCAGCUGGGCGGGGGCUGGGCGGGCCUGGGCGGGGGCUGGGCGGGCCUGGGAGGGGGCUGGGUGGAGGCUGGGCGGCAGCUGGGCGGGCCUGGGCCACAGCACGGUAACCAAGCGGUCACUGCAAGGUAACCAGUUGGUCCGACACUGGUGACCAUGCGGUCUGUUAACCGCUGGUAACCAGUGAGGCGGUCUAUUAACCGUCGGUCUGCGGCCUGAAGCCCAAAUAAACCGAUGGUAACCUGAGUGCCAAACCAGCCAUUCCUCCCGGGAUAACCGCUGGGUAACCAGCGAUUAACCGAUGGUUUAAUAGGGGCUGGAACGGUAGGGAUGUCCCAGUAGCGCCGCAGUGCCAGCUCCGCCGACCUGCAGGGCUUGCCAGCACGGUGCCUCGACACAUCCUUCCUUGCAACAUUGCCCGCGCGCCAGUUGCAUGUCUGCAGCAGCCCCGGUGACACCUCAUACACCCGCCCAUCCAGCAACUGCUGCAGCUCCAGCGGGAUCUGCAGCAGGUCACACACCCGCUGCAGCUCCGCACCCUCAGUGCGCUCCCCCAAAUGUGCCUGCACAUGAACACACAAUCAUGACAAAAUCAACACCUUCAUAAUGGCUUGCCCCCCUGGCCCGGCUGCCCCACUCCCUCGGCCUUAAGUACUCCAUCCCCUGGGGCCACCAUCCUCCAAGCACUCACCCCAACAGGUGGCAUUGGCACCCAGCCUCCCGGCGGCAGCUGGUCGAACUCCGCAUCAGCAUCUGCCUCCUCCUUCUCAGCCGCCACCUCCACAUCCUGCUCCGCUGUUGUCGCUGCCGCCAAAGGUUCGCCUGCCUCCAGCCCAUCACCACAGCGUUGGUCCCUGCCCACAGGCGCCGCCAGCCGCUCGCCAGACUCCGCCUCAUCAACUUCAUCCACCUGCAUGCACCCGGACAUUAGCAUUCAAUUUCAUUCCUGUUGUGGAGGUGGCUAACUGCAUUCACAUGCCCUCCGCCAGGCUCAUCCAUCCGGCACACACACACAGACACACACACAUACACACACACACACAUACACACACACACACACACACACACACACACACACACACACACACACACACACACACACACACACACACACACACACACACACACACAUACAG